RNAcentral lists this long non-coding RNA (394 nucleotides) under Chinchilla lanigera (long-tailed chinchilla). RNAcentral's name for it is "lncRNA (ENSCLAG00000023608.1)". Lineage: Eukaryota; Metazoa; Chordata; Mammalia; Rodentia; Chinchillidae. The record is from RNAcentral.
CCUCAUGCCACAGUUCGCAGGAAAAACACAGAUUUUCAGAUCUACAGUAUUUUCUACGGUAUUCUUUGAAAGGAACAGUGUCACCCACAUCCUAUGGCAGAGGUUUAAUUUCCCCAAUCCCUCAGCAAGGCCACUGACUUCCCAGCUUCCACUAUCUGCCACUGAAGAAGGCACCGUCAGCCUUGUGGAUUCAGCAGUGACACUGCCUACAAGAGGCAAGAAUAAUGUGAAAGCCCGUCAAGUGCAAUAGUGGAACGGAAAUAGGACCACACGCACACAGAAUGUGGUCUCGGCGCUGUGAUUCCUUGGCAGCUUGCAUCUGCUACUUAUGAAAUUUAAAUUAAAAAGUAGACAACGGUUUUUUAUCAGUUUCUACUACUUUGUCAUGUCAUAA